UACGAAGGGGGCUAGCGUUGUUCGGAAUUACUGGGCGUAAAGGGCGCGUAGGCGGUGUGUCAAGUCAGGCGUGAAAGCCCCGGGCUCAACCUGGGAACCGCGCUUGAGACUGGCACGCUAGAGUUCGGGAGAGGAUGGUGAAUUCCCAGUGUAGAGGUGAAAUUCGUAGAUAUUGGGAAGAACACCGAUGGCGAAGGCAGCCAUCUGGACCGACACUGACGCUGAGGCGCGAAAGCGUGGGGAGCAAACAGG
RNAcentral lists this ribosomal RNA (252 nucleotides) under uncultured bacterium. RNAcentral describes it as "partial 16S ribosomal RNA". It matches the Rfam family "Bacterial small subunit ribosomal RNA", at positions 524 to 776 of the family's 1533-position model. The record is from RNAcentral.